AAUCAACUGAGAUUCCCCCAGUAGCGGCGAGCGAACGGGGAGCAGCCCAGAGCCUGAAUCAGUGUGUGUGUUAGUGGAAGCGUCUGGAAAGGCGCGCGAUACAGGGUGACAGCCCCGUACACAAAAAUGCACAUGCUGUGAGCUCGAUGAGUAGGGCGGGACACGUGGUAUCCUGUCUGAAUAUGGGGGGACCAUCCUCCAAGGCUAAAUACUCCUGACUGACCGAUAGUGAACCAGUACCGUGAGGGAAAGGCGAAAAGAACCCCGGCGAGGGGAGUGAAAAAGAACCUGAAACCGUGUACGUACAAGCAGUGGGAGCACAGAGCAAUCUGUGUGACUGCGUACCUUUUGUAUAAUGGGUCAGCGACUUAUAUUCUGUAGCAAGGUUAACCGAAUAGGGGAGCCGAAGGGAAACCGAGUCUUAACUGGGCGUUAAGUUGCAGGGUAUAGACCCGAAACCCGGUGAUCUAGCCAUGGGCAGGUUGAAGGUUGGGUAACACUAACUGGAGGACCGAACCGACUAAUGUUGAAAAAUUAGCGGAUGACUUGUGGCUGGGGGUGAAAGGCCAAUCAAACCGGGAGAUAGCUGGUUCUCCCCGAAAGCUAUUUAGGUAGCGCCUCGUGAAUUCAUCUCCGGGGGUAGAGCACUGUUUCGGCAAGGGGGUCAUCCCGACUUACCAACCCGAUGCAAACUGCGAAUACCGGAGAAUGUUAUCACGGGAGACACACGGCGGGUGCUAACGUCCGUCGUGAAGAGGGAAACAACCCAGACCGCCAGCUAAGGUCCCAAAGUCAUGGUUAAGUGGGAAACGAUGUGGGAAGGCCCAGACAGCCAGGAUGUUGGCUUAGAAGCAGCCAUCAUUUAAAGAAAGCGUAAUAGCUCACUGGUCGAGUCGGCCUGCGCGGAAGAUGUAACGGGGCUAAACCAUGCACCGAAGCUGCGGCAGCGACGCUUAUGCGUUGUUGGGUA
This 970-nucleotide ribosomal RNA is filed under the name Escherichia coli. RNAcentral's name for it is "partial 23S ribosomal RNA". It matches the Rfam family "Bacterial large subunit ribosomal RNA", at positions 223 to 1230 of the family's 2925-position model. Lineage: Bacteria; Pseudomonadati; Pseudomonadota; Gammaproteobacteria; Enterobacterales; Enterobacteriaceae. The record is from RNAcentral.